This is a long non-coding RNA of Homo sapiens (human), 1328 nucleotides long. Ensembl annotates it as zinc finger protein 37B, pseudogene. Its record names the gene ZNF37BP. The record is from Ensembl. Lineage: Eukaryota; Metazoa; Chordata; Mammalia; Primates; Hominidae.
AGGUUUGUUUUUCUCCGGUACAGCCUGGUGAAGGAUGCCCGGAGGCCUCGGCAGGACCGUGCGGAAACGGGCCUUCUGCCCAAAAGAUGCUGCUUCUCUCCUUAUUCUUUCCCCUCAGAAUCUCGCUGUCUCCUUCCAACCACCUGUGGUCGGCAUCCCCGCGUUGUCACUGCGACGCAGAGGUCGCAGCUUCAUGGCCUGAUGCCUUCAGGAAGUAUUUUGAAGUCAUCGUGGCUGUGGAUUGGGGGAUUUCUUGUUUCCACUGACCUGUGAGGCCGCGCACGUGGAGGGAGGCACCCCGGGUCCUCCGGCACUGUCCGGCCUCGCCUGUGUCCCUAGUAGCAGUGGGCAUUUCCAGACGGUGCAGCUUGUGGCUAAAGUGACAGGAAGAUGUAGGAGCUUUCAGUCUUGGAUGAGGAUUCGAACUGAAGGGCUUAGGCCCAGCUGUCUUGGAGCAAAACAUCUGUUGUGGGAUGUGGCGGCAGAGGAGGGCAAGGCCGAAGGAGCAGACAGCACCGCUUCUUGGGGAGUUGUGAAGGCAUCAUGCGGAGGGCCGAGCUUAGCAGCCAAGUGGAGGACAGCACCCUCCAUGCCUGGAUUCGUUACUCGCUCGUUCUCGAUGUUGAGCUGCUGGCAUAUUGCAGCACAACUAGAGAUGUACGGAUGCCCCCAUCUUGAUCUUACAGAAUCAGAGGUGCAGCCGCAAGAAAGAGUCAAGAACAGACACUGAGUCGCUUGAGGACUCAGGCAGGUGUUUGCUGCAUUGACAACAGAUGGAAUAUGAUCACAUCCCAGGGAUCAGUGUCAUUUAGGGAUGUGACUAUGGGCUUCACUCAAGAGGAGUGGCAUCAUCUGGACCCUGCUCAGAGGACCCUGUAGAGGAAUGUGAUGCUGGAGAACUACAGCCACCUUGUCUCAGUAGGGUAUUGCAUUCCUAAACCAGAAGUGAUCCUCAAAUUGGAGACAGGCAAGGAGCCAUGGAUAUUAGAGGAAAAAUUUCGAAGCCAGAGUCAUCUGGAAUUAAUUAAUACCAGUAGAAACUAUUCAAGAAUGAAGUUCAAUGAGUUUAACAAAGGUGGAAAAUGUUUCUGUGAUGAAAGCAUGAAAUAAUUCAUUUUGAAGAGGAACCUUCUGAAUAUAAUAACAAUGGGAACAGCUUCUGGCUGAAUGAAGACCUCAUUUGGCAUCAGAAGAUUAAAAAUUGGGAGCAACCUUUUGAAUACAAUGAAUGUGGGAAAGCUUUCCCUGAGAAUUCACUCUUCCUUGUACAUAAGAGAGCUUACACAGGACAGAAAACAUGCAAAUAUACUGAACAUGGGAAAACCUGU